AGAGUUUGAUCCUGGCUCAGGAUGAACGCUGGCGGCGUGCCUAACACAUGCAAGUCGAGCGAUUUACUUCGGUAAAGAGCGGCGGACGGGUGAGUAACGCGUGGGUAACCUGCCCUGUACACACGGAUAACAUACCGAAAGGUAUGCUAAUACAAGAUAAAAUACUUUUAUCGCAUGGUAGAAGUAUCAAAGCUUUUGCGGUACAGGAUGGACCCGCGUCUGAUUAGCUAGUUGGUAAGGUAACGGCUUACCAAGGCGACGAUCAGUAGCCGACCUGAGAGGGUGAUCGGCCACAUUGGAACUGAGACACGGUCCAAACUCCUACGGGAGGCAGCAGUGGGGAAUAUUGCACAAUGGGCGAAAGCCUGAUGCAGCAACGCCGCGUGAGCGAUGAAGGCCUUCGGGUCGUAAAGCUCUGUCCUCAAGGAAGAUAAUGACGGUACUUGAGGAGGAAGCCCCGGCUAACUACGUGCCAGCAGCCGCGGUAAUACGUAGGGGGCUAGCGUUAUCCGGAAUGAUUGGGCGUAAAGGGUGCGCAGGCGGUCCUGCAAGUCUGGAGUGAAACGUAUGAGCUCAACUCAUGCAUGGCUCUGGAAACUGGAGGACUGGAGAGCAGGAGAGGGCGGUGGAACUCCAUGUGUAGCGGUAAAAUGCGUAGAUAUAUGGAAGAACACCAGUGGCGAAGGCGGCCGCCUGGCCUGUUGCUGACGCUGAGGCACGAAAGCGUGGGGAGCAAAUAGGAUUAGAUACCCUAGUAGUCCACGCCGUAAACGAUGAGGACCAAGUGUUGGGGGUGAAACCUCAGUGCUGAAGUUAACGCAGUGAGUCCUCCGCCUGGGGAGUAUGCACGCAAGUGUGAAACUCAAAGGAAUUGACGGGGGCCCGCACAAGCGGUGGAGUAUGUGGUUUAAUUCGAAGCAACGCGAAGAACCUUACCAGGCCUUGACAUGGGAUGCGAAGACGCAGAGAUGCGUUGGAGGUCAACAUCCACACAGGUGGUGCAUGGUUGUCGUCAGCUCGUGUCGUGAGAUGUUGGGUCAAGUCCCGCAACGAGCGCAACCCUUGUGGCAUGUUGCUAACAGGAAAGCUGAGGACUCAUGCCAGACUGCCGGUGACAAACCGGAGGAAGGCGGGGAUGACGUCAAAUCAUCAUGCCCCUUAUGGCCUGGGCUACACACGUACUACAAUGGCGGCUACAAAGAGCGGCGAGACAGUAAUGUCGAGCGAAUCUCAUAAAAGCCGUCCCAGUUCGGAUUGGAGCCUGCAACCCGGCUCCAUGAAGUUGGAAUCGCUAGUAAUCGCGGAUCAGCAUGCCGCGGUGAAUACGUUCCCGGGCCUUGCACACACCGCCCGUCAA
This 1357-nucleotide ribosomal RNA is filed under the name uncultured bacterium. RNAcentral describes it as "bacterial SSU rRNA". It matches the Rfam family "Bacterial small subunit ribosomal RNA". The record is from RNAcentral.